This 645-nucleotide ribosomal RNA is filed under the name Streptomyces sp. 3311_6. RNAcentral's name for it is "bacterial SSU rRNA". It matches the Rfam family "Bacterial small subunit ribosomal RNA", at positions 100 to 758 of the family's 1533-position model. RNAcentral also lists the same sequence under 5 other names. The record is from RNAcentral. Lineage: Bacteria; Bacillati; Actinomycetota; Actinomycetes; Kitasatosporales; Streptomycetaceae.
GAACGGGUGAGUAACACGUGGGCAAUCUGCCCUUCACUCUGGGACAAGCCCUGGAAACGGGGUCUAAUACCGGAUACGACACGGGGUCGCAUGACCUCCGUGUGGAAAGCUCCGGCGGUGAAGGAUGAGCCCGCGGCCUAUCAGCUUGUUGGUGGGGUGAUGGCCUACCAAGGCGACGACGGGUAGCCGGCCUGAGAGGGCGACCGGCCACACUGGGACUGAGACACGGCCCAGACUCCUACGGGAGGCAGCAGUGGGGAAUAUUGCACAAUGGGCGAAAGCCUGAUGCAGCGACGCCGCGUGAGGGAUGACGGCCUUCGGGUUGUAAACCUCUUUCAGCAGGGAAGAAGCGAGAGUGACGGUACCUGCAGAAGAAGCGCCGGCUAACUACGUGCCAGCAGCCGCGGUAAUACGUAGGGCGCAAGCGUUGUCCGGAAUUAUUGGGCGUAAAGAGCUCGUAGGCGGCUUGUCACGUCGGAUGUGAAAGCCCGGGGCUUAACCCCGGGUCUGCAUUCGAUACGGGCAGGCUAGAGUUCGGUAGGGGAGAUCGGAAUUCCUGGUGUAGCGGUGAAAUGCGCAGAUAUCAGGAGGAACACCGGUGGCGAAGGCGGAUCUCUGGGCCGAUACUGACGCUGAGGAGCGAAA